Molecule: ribosomal RNA, 301 nt
Filed under: uncultured bacterium
Lineage: Bacteria
Description: partial 16S ribosomal RNA
Rfam family: Bacterial small subunit ribosomal RNA
Source: RNAcentral
CAGCAGCCGCGGUAAUACGAAGGGUGCAAGCGUUAAUCGGAAUUACUGGGCGUAAAGCGUGCGUAGGCGGUUCGUUAAGUCUGUUGUGAAAGCCCCGGGCUCAACCUGGGAAUGGCAAUGGAUACUGGCGAGCUAGAGUGUGUCAGAGGAUGGUGGAAUUCCCGGUGUAGCGGUGAAAUGCGUAGAGAUCGGGAGGAACAUCAGUGGCGAAGGCGGCCAUCUGGGACAACACUGACGCUGAGGCACGAAAGCGUGGGGAGCAAACAGGAUUAGAUACCCCGGUAGUCCCUGUCUCUUAUAC